ACCGGGAUGGACGUACCGCUGGUGCACCAGUUGUUCCGCCAGGAGCAUGGCUGGGUAGCUACGUACGGACGGGAUAAGCGCUGAAAGCAUCUAAGCGUGAAGCCCCCCUCAAGAUGAGAUUUCCCAGUAUGUAAGACCCCUUGAAGACGACGAGGUAGAUAGGUUGGAGGUGGAAGCACGGCAACGUGUGGAGCUGACCAAUACUAAUCGGUCGAGGGCUUAUCCAAAAA
This 230-nucleotide ribosomal RNA is filed under the name Paenibacillus jilunlii. RNAcentral's name for it is "partial 23S ribosomal RNA". It matches the Rfam family "Bacterial large subunit ribosomal RNA", at positions 2691 to 2925 of the family's 2925-position model. Lineage: Bacteria; Bacillati; Bacillota; Bacilli; Caryophanales; Paenibacillaceae. The record is from RNAcentral.